CAAUAGCGUAUAUUAAAGUUGUUGCGGUUAAAAAGCUCGUAGUUGGAUUUCUGGUAGGAGUGACCGUUCCGAACUUGAUUGUUCGUGUAUUGUGUUUUCUCCAGCCAUCCUUGUGGAGAACUUUUCUUGCAUUAAUUUGUAGGGAUUGGGACCCGCAUCGUUUACUGUGAAAAAAUUAGAGUGUUUAAAGCAGGCAAUCGCUUGAAUACAUUAGCAUGGAAUAAUAAGAUAGGACUUUGGUACUAUUUUGUUGGUUUGCAUACCAAAUUAAUGAUCAACAGGAACAGUUUGAGGAUAUUCGUAUGAACAUGUCAGAGGUGAAAUUCUUGGAUUUUGAUCAGACGAACUACUGCGAAAGCAUUUAUCAAGGAUGUUUUCAUUAA
This 383-nucleotide ribosomal RNA is filed under the name uncultured eukaryote. RNAcentral describes it as "partial 18S ribosomal RNA". It matches the Rfam family "Eukaryotic small subunit ribosomal RNA", at positions 592 to 976 of the family's 1831-position model. The record is from RNAcentral.